AUAGAUGGUUUUUGCUAGCGGUUC
RNAcentral lists this non-coding RNA (24 nucleotides) under Arabidopsis thaliana (thale cress). Lineage: Eukaryota; Viridiplantae; Streptophyta; Magnoliopsida; Brassicales; Brassicaceae. The record is from RNAcentral.